This 465-nucleotide ribosomal RNA is filed under the name uncultured bacterium. RNAcentral describes it as "partial 16S ribosomal RNA". It matches the Rfam family "Bacterial small subunit ribosomal RNA", at positions 28 to 507 of the family's 1533-position model. The record is from RNAcentral.
GACGAACGCUGGCGGCGUGCUUAACACAUGCAAGUCGAACGGAAAGGCCCUGCUUGCAGGGUACUCGAGUGGCGAACGGGUGAGUAACACGUGGGUGAUCUGCCCUGCACUUCGGGAUAAGCCUGGGAAACUGGGUCUAAUACCGGAUAGGAGCCAUUUUUAGUGUGAUGGUUGGAAAGUUUUUUCGGUGUAGGAUGAGCUCGCGGCCUAUCAGCUUGUUGGUGGGGUAAUGGCCUACCAAGGCGGCGACGGGUAGCCGGCCUGCGAGGGUGGACGGCCACAUUGGGACUGAGAGACGGCCCAGACGCCUACGGGAGGCAGCAGUGGGGAAGAUUGCACAAUGGGCGCAAGGCUGAUGCAGCGACGCCGCGUGGGGGAUGACGGCCUUCGGGUUGUAAACUCCUUUCGCUAGGGACGAAGCUUUUUGUGACGGUACCUAGAUAAGAAGCACCGGCUAACUACGUG